ACAAAGCCUCUCGCUUACACCUAGAAGAUGUCUGCUAAACCCAGAUCAUUUUGA
This 54-nucleotide transfer RNA is filed under the name Occidozyga martensii (round-tongued floating frog). Its description in RNAcentral is "tRNA-Val". The record is from RNAcentral. Lineage: Eukaryota; Metazoa; Chordata; Amphibia; Anura; Dicroglossidae.